RNAcentral lists this transfer RNA (71 nucleotides) under Bos taurus (domestic cattle). It matches the Rfam family "tRNA". Rfam says of the family: Transfer RNA (tRNA) molecules are approximately 80 nucleotides in length. The record is from Rfam by way of RNAcentral. RNAcentral also lists the same sequence under 1 other name. Lineage: Eukaryota; Metazoa; Chordata; Mammalia; Artiodactyla; Bovidae.
UCCCAUGUAGCUCAGUGGUAAAGAACCUGCCUGCCAAGCAGGAGAUGCAGGUUCGAUCCCUAGGUUCGGAA